CCUGGGUCCAGUUCAGUUCAAUGUCCAAAUAAGGUAACACUUUACCUAUUUGUCAAGUAUCUCCAAGCUUUCUCAAACUUGUCCACAUGAAGUCCCCAUUCACUUUAAUAGGGACUAUGUUCAUGGCCUCCAUUGCUUGGAUACUUUCUUUCAAUAUCACCCAUCUCCAAUAUAGCAAGAGAACCUUUGAAGUUGUUUCUCACAAAUCUGACCCUGACAACAUUUUGUGAAGUUUGAAAGAAAAUUCAGUUUGUAUAUCUUGAAGUGAGCACGCACUUUUACACGAAUAUUGC
Pelobates cultripes (western spadefoot toad) is the source of this 293-nucleotide non-coding RNA. Lineage: Eukaryota; Metazoa; Chordata; Amphibia; Anura; Pelobatidae. The record is from the annotation of a GenBank genome assembly.